This 301-nucleotide ribosomal RNA is filed under the name uncultured bacterium. RNAcentral's name for it is "partial 16S ribosomal RNA". It matches the Rfam family "Bacterial small subunit ribosomal RNA", at positions 509 to 808 of the family's 1533-position model. The record is from RNAcentral.
CAGUAGCCACGGUAAUACGUAGGUCCCGAGCGUUGUCCGGAUUUAUUGGGCGUAAAGGGAGCGCGGGCGGUUUAGUAAGUCUGAAGUUAAAGGCAUUGGCUCAACCAAUGUAUGCUUUGGAAACUGUUAGACUUGAGUGCAGAAGGGGAGAGUGGAAUUCCAUGUGUAGCGGUGAAAUGCGUAGAUUUAUGGAGGAACACCAACGGCGAAAGCACUCUGCUGGGCCGACACUGACACUGAGAGACGAAAGCUAGGGGAGCAAAUGGGAUUAGAUACCCCGGUAGUCCCUGUCUCUUAUACC